RNAcentral lists this ribosomal RNA (427 nucleotides) under Bradyrhizobium japonicum. Its description in RNAcentral is "bacterial SSU rRNA". It matches the Rfam family "Bacterial small subunit ribosomal RNA", at positions 38 to 512 of the family's 1533-position model. Lineage: Bacteria; Pseudomonadati; Pseudomonadota; Alphaproteobacteria; Hyphomicrobiales; Nitrobacteraceae. The record is from RNAcentral.
GGCGGCGGCUUACCAUGCAAGUCGAGCGGGCGUAGCAAUACGUCAGCGGCAGACGGGUGAGUAACGCGUGGGAACGUACCUUUUGGUUCGGAACAACACAGGGAAACUUGUGCUAAUACCGGAUAAGCCCUUACGGGGAAAGAUUUAUCGCCGAAAGAUCGGCCCGCGUCUGAUUAGCUAGUUGGUAGGGUAAUGGCCUACCAAGGCGACGAUCAGUAGCUGGUCUGAGAGGAUGAUCAGCCACAUUGGGACUGAGACACGGCCCAAACUCCUACGGGAGGCAGCAGUGGGGAAUAUUGGACAAUGGGGGCAACCCUGAUCCAGCCAUGCCGCGUGAGUGAUGAAGGCCCUAGGGUUGUAAAGCUCUUUUGUGCGGGAAGAUAAUGACGGUACCGCAAGAAUAAGCCCCGGCUAACUUCGUGCCACG